AGCGAACGCUGGCGGCAGGCUUAACACAUGCAAGUCGAACGGGCACUUCGGUGCUAGUGGCAGACGGGUGAGUAACGCGUGGGAACGUGCCUUUCGGUUCGGAAUAAUCCAGGGAAACGUGGACUAAUACCGGAUACGCUCUUCGGGGGACAGAUUUAUCGCCGAAAGAUCGGCCCGCGUCUGAUUAGCUAGUUGGUGAGGUAAAGGCUCACCAAGGCGACGAUCAGUAGCUGGUCUGAGAGGAUGAUCAGCCACAUUGGGACUGAGACACGGCCCAAACUCCUACGGGAGGCAGCAGUGGGGAAUAUUGGACAAUGGGCGCAAGCCUGAUCCAGCCAUGCCGCGUGAGUGAUGAAGGCCUUAGGGUUGUAAAGCUCUUUUGUCCGGGAAGAUAAUGACUGUACCGGAAGAAUAAGCCCCGGCUAACUUCGUGCCAGCCGCCGCGGUAA
RNAcentral lists this ribosomal RNA (449 nucleotides) under uncultured bacterium. RNAcentral describes it as "partial 16S ribosomal RNA". It matches the Rfam family "Bacterial small subunit ribosomal RNA", at positions 29 to 523 of the family's 1533-position model. The record is from RNAcentral.